RNAcentral lists this ribosomal RNA (356 nucleotides) under Acinetobacter baumannii. RNAcentral describes it as "bacterial SSU rRNA". It matches the Rfam family "Bacterial small subunit ribosomal RNA", at positions 311 to 659 of the family's 1533-position model. The record is from RNAcentral. Lineage: Bacteria; Pseudomonadati; Pseudomonadota; Gammaproteobacteria; Moraxellales; Moraxellaceae.
CACUGGAACUGAGACACGGUCCAGACUCCUACGGGAGGCAGCAGUGGGGAAUAUUGCACAAUGGGCGCAAGCCUGAUGCAGCCAUGCCGCGUGUGUGAAGAAGGCCUUCGGGUUGUAAAGCACUUUCAGCGGGGAGGAAGGCGGUGAGGUUAAUAACCUCAUCGAUUGACGUUACCCGCAGAAGAAGCACCGGCUAACUCCGUGCCAGCAGCCGCGGUAAUACGGAGGGUGCAAGCGUUAAUCGGAAUUACUGGGCGUAAAGCGCACGCAGGCGGUCUGUCAAGUCGGAUGUGAAAUCCCCGGGCUUAACCUGGGAACUGCAUUCGAAACUGGCAGGCUAGAGUCUUGUAGAGGGG